CAGAGUGAGAAAACAGUAUAAAGUAACCCAGAAUAACAAUAAAUCAAUGAGCAGUAUACAGAAUCUAUCAGAUAAAUAGCCUAAAUACAGCAACAGAUGUUAACAAGUGAUACAGCAGCUACAUAGCAUGAAGUGGUAUAGGAAAUAACACAAAAUAAACUGCCUAGCUAAACACAGCAAUAGACUGCCUAGCUAAACACAGCAAUAGACUGCCUAGCUAAACACAGCAAUAGACUGCCUAGCUAAACACAGCAAUAGACUGCCUAGAUAAACACAGCAAUAGACUGCCUAG
Non-coding RNA from Pelobates cultripes (western spadefoot toad), 292 nucleotides. Lineage: Eukaryota; Metazoa; Chordata; Amphibia; Anura; Pelobatidae. The record is from the annotation of a GenBank genome assembly.